UCCCAUGUGGUGUAGUGGUUAACAUUACGGAUUCUCACUCCGUAGCCCAGAGUUCGAUUCUCUGUAUGGGAG
Truncatella angustata is the source of this 72-nucleotide non-coding RNA. The record is from the annotation of a RefSeq genome assembly. Lineage: Eukaryota; Fungi; Ascomycota; Sordariomycetes; Amphisphaeriales; Sporocadaceae.